Molecule: ribosomal RNA, 440 nt
Filed under: uncultured bacterium
Lineage: Bacteria
Description: partial 16S ribosomal RNA
Rfam family: Bacterial small subunit ribosomal RNA
Source: RNAcentral
CCUACGGGAGGCAGCAGUGGGGAAUAUUGCACAAUGGGGGAAACCCUGAUGCAGCGACGCCGCGUGAGUGAAGAAGUAAUUCGUUAUGUAAAGCUCUAUCAGCAGGGCAGAAAAUGACGGUACCUGAGUAAGAAGCCCCGGCUAACUACGUGCCAGCAGCCGCGGUAAUACGGAGGGGGCAAGCGUUAUCCGGAUUUACUGGGUGUAAAGGGAGCGUAGACGGCUGUGCAAGUCUGGAGUGAAAGGCGGGGGCUCAACCCCCGAACUGCUCUGGAAACUGUACGGCUUGAGUGCAGGAGAGGUAAGUGGAAUUCCUAGUGUAGCGGUGAAAUGCGUAGAUAUUAGGAGGAACACCAGUGGCGAAGGCGGCUUACUGGACUGUAACUGACGUUGAGGCUCGAAAGCGUGGGGAGCAAACAGGAUUAGAUACCCGAGUAGUC